GUAGGGGGCAAGCGUUGUCCGGAUUUACUGGGCGUAAAGAGCGCGUAGGCGGACGUUUAAGUGUGGCCUGAAAGCCCCCGGCUCAACCGGGGAUCCGGGUUGCAAACUGGACGUCUUGAGGGGGAUAGGGGAAGGUGGAAUUCCUGGUGUAGCGGUGAAAUGCGUAGAGAUCAGGAGGAACACCCGUGGCGAAGGCGGCCUUCUGGGUCCGCCCUGACGCUGAGGCGCGAAAGCGUGGGGAGCGAACGGAAUUAGAUACCCCGGUAGUCCACGCCGUAAACGAUGAUUACUAGGUGUGUGUGGUAUCGACCCCACACGUGCCGCAGCUAACGCAAUAAGUAAUCCGCCUGGGGAGUACGGCCGCAAGGUUG
RNAcentral lists this ribosomal RNA (371 nucleotides) under uncultured bacterium. RNAcentral describes it as "bacterial SSU rRNA". It matches the Rfam family "Bacterial small subunit ribosomal RNA", at positions 527 to 896 of the family's 1533-position model. The record is from RNAcentral.